UACGAAGGGGGCUAGCGUUGCUCGGAAUUACUGGGCGUAAAGCGCACGUAGGCGGCUUGUUAAGUCAGGGGUGAAAUCCUGGAGCUCAACUCCAGAACUGCCUUUGAUACUGAAGAUCUUGAGUUCGGGAGAGGUGAGUGGAACUGCGAGUGUAGAGGUGAAAUUCGUAGAUAUUCGCAAGAACACCAGUGGCGAAGGCGGCUCACUGGCCCGAUACUGACGCUGAGGCACGAAAGCGUGGGGAGCAAACAGG
This 253-nucleotide ribosomal RNA is filed under the name uncultured bacterium. Its description in RNAcentral is "partial 16S ribosomal RNA". It matches the Rfam family "Bacterial small subunit ribosomal RNA", at positions 524 to 776 of the family's 1533-position model. The record is from RNAcentral.